UUUGUGAUAGUUUUUAGAACUUAUGGGUAUAAGUCAUGUUUUAUAUUUUUUCAAAUAAAAAGUGAAAUAUGUUUUGAAAAAUCAUGUCCAAACACAUUUUCAUCUUCAAACCAAACUUCACCCAAAUCAGAUUUUUCAAAAUAAAUUUGGGAAUCUAUGGUCAAACGCUAGCUAAAACUCUUCAUCUUCAAUUCAAGUAAUACGGGGUUGACUAGUUCUUCAUCAACAAAUUCUCUAUCCAUUCUCUUCAUCUUCUCGUUCCCUCAUCUAUUUUGUCAUCUGCAAAUUCACAUUGUAGUUCCUUUUUUUUACACCACUGCAACCAAGAGAAAAAAGAUCAUAUUUUUACACCACUGCAUCCAGCAGGAAUCAAGAAUGGUGCGCUUUAAACCAGAUAACAAAAUACAUUGAAUGCCCCGGCAACAUACAUUGAAAUGCACCAACAAAAUAUAAUGAAAUGCACCAGCAAAAUACACCGAAAUGCAGAAAAUCAGCUGUACUAAGACAAAUUUGUCCAAUUUUGCGAAUAUGAGCAAAUAACAUGGGGAGAAAAUCAGCCCAAACAAUGCAGAAACAGUGCUAAAAAAAACAGCUCAAACUAUGCAAAAACAGGACAGGCUUUAGGCAGCAGCAAUGCAGAAGUUUAGGUUUUUUGGGCAAAAACAGCAGUGCAGGAGCUUCUAAAAUUGGCCUGUAGACCCUUCAAUUUACUUUUAAGAAUGCAGCUCAAAUCCUGCUGAACUGAUGCCCGAAACAGUGCAGAAAUUGCAUUCAAACUAUAGAAAUCUGCAUCAUAUGUUGUCGACCGAAUGGUUGUGCAAUUAGACAAGUACAAGCAAGUCAUUUGUGUGAGAUGUAUAGACCCCUCCGUUCACCACUCAUGGUAUCAUAAUUAAAUUAAUCACCAAAAGUAUCAGUAUAUACUGCUAAGAUAUGAAUCUUAGCAGCAGAACAUCAUAAAUAUUAGAAUAGUUGGUUCAAUAGAAUCCCAAAAGUACAAGAAAAUAGAAAGAGAACAACAGAGGGCACUGUUGAGUCUAAGUUUCGCAAGAUAAGGUUGAAGAUCAAUAGCAAUCUCAUCUUUUUCAUCAGAGUCUGAUCCAUCAUCAAGAUCUUAUACAAUUUAAAAAGAAAAAAUAUAAAAUAUUACAGUUUAUUAGUUUUUCAAAAAAUAAAAUAAACCAUUCUAGAUAAGAUUAAUUUACCUUCUCUUUCACAAAUCCAAUCUCUAGAACAUAGCUUUGCCUCGGCAUUUGCGGGAAGAAUAGAACUUCAAAACUUUUCAAUGACACGACCACCUAUGCUAAAUACAGAUUCAGAGGCUACUGUGGUGAUUGGAACACUCAAGAUAUCUCGUGCCAUUAAUGAGAGUUCUAGAUACCUUUGUCUGUUAUCCUUCCAAUAUCCAAGUACAUCCAGAUUCGGAUUUGUUUUACGGUCAAGAUUAGCUUCCUCCAAAUACAAGUCUAGUUGUGUUUUACCGAUACUUGACUCAAACUGACUUUCAAACUCAUCAAAUGCAUCCCUCAUUUCAUUGCUACCACUAUUACAAGCAUGAUCCCCCGAUAACGAGGUUGUAGUCGAAGGUAUCAAGUACUCUUUGAACAAUAAUUGUAAGUUCUCUUCAAUAGCCUUCACUUUUUCAUUAGCAAUCUCCUCAGGAUGAAGCUUUGAAAAGCAAAACUUAACAAACUUCAAUUUAUAUCGAGGGUUAAGGAUAAUAGCUAUAGAUAAAAUGACACUAUAUGACUCCCAAUAUUUUUUAAACUUUCCCAACAUCAAAGUGCCCAUCUCACUCAUCACUGAAUCUCCACUGUUUUUUUGUUCUUCCAACAACAUUUCAAUUCUCCGUACGUUAGGAAGAUACAAAUUAGCCGUGGGGUAUUUACAUCCAGAAAACAAGGUCGUAAUGUCAUAAAAUGGCUUCAAAAACUUAGCUAUAAUCUCGAGCCUUUUCCAUUCAUCUUCAGAAAGGCCAUAUCUAAAAUCAGUGUCAAGCAAGUUAUAGUGAAUAUAAGCUUGCCGAUAAAGAAGAGCACUUUCAAGCAUUUGGUAGGUGGAGUUUCACCGAAUAGGCAUAUCUUGACGUAGCUUCUUAGAACAUGGUAGACCAAGAUUACUAAGACACUCCACAAAUUUCAUUAUUCUUGUUUCUGAAUUCUUGAUAUGCUUAACACCUUCUCUAAUUUUCGAAAUAGUUGUAUCAGCCUUCUCGAAGCCCGUCUUAACAAUUAAGUUCAAAAUGUGAUUCCCACAAUGAACAUGAAGAAAUUUUCCGUCACAAAUUAGUGAACGCAUCAAAGAAAAAUGAUUCUUUAAACUAUUCACUACACCGUUGUUGCAAGUAGCAUUAUCUAAAAUAAGGGUAAAGAUUUUCUUUUCGAUUCCCCAUUCUUUAAGAAAGUUAAUCAAUAAGGGACCUAAAAUCGCACCCGAAUGUGGAGGAGGAACAUGACGAAAAAUUAACACCCUCUUCUGAAGCACCCAAUUCAAAUCCACAUAAUGAGCGAUUACACACAUAUAGCCAUUAGAUGCUAAUGAAGUCCAUAUAUCUGAUGUUAAACACACUCUACUGGGAAUAAUGGCAAGCUCAUUUUUUAGAAGUUCUUUUUCGCUUGCAUACAUAUUCAAGAUAUCUGACUUGGCCGUGUUUCAUGAUAUGUGCUUCGCUAUUGGAUUUAAAUAUGAAUGAAGGUCCCUGAUGCCUUUAUGUUCUACAAAACUAAAAGCAUAGUUAUGCCUGACUAUGGCUAAUGAUAUUUUCUCUCGAUAAACUUUCUGAUCUAUCGGUUCACUUUGACCCUCUUUUGCAUUAUUCAACGGAUGUUUUAUCAACAAAUAUCGCUUCAAAUUUGAUGUUCCAAAUUUAGGAUCGUAUAUGUAGUCUUUUUUACAAAGCGUGCAUUGGACUUUAAACUUUCCAUCACUAGAAAUACUAGGCUAUGUUACCUUAACAAAAGAAUCCCAAACAGUGGAAAAUUGUCUUUUUGAUCGUUUCAGCGUAGUUGAAGAGCUCUGUUCAC
This 3023-nucleotide long non-coding RNA is filed under the name Nicotiana tabacum (common tobacco). RNAcentral's name for it is "long non-coding RNA (NTAB_LNC014573)". The record is from RNAcentral. Lineage: Eukaryota; Viridiplantae; Streptophyta; Magnoliopsida; Solanales; Solanaceae.